This 441-nucleotide ribosomal RNA is filed under the name uncultured bacterium. RNAcentral describes it as "bacterial SSU rRNA". It matches the Rfam family "Bacterial small subunit ribosomal RNA", at positions 958 to 1397 of the family's 1533-position model. The record is from RNAcentral.
AACGCGAAGAACCUUACCUGGGCUCGAAGUGCCGGCGACCAUCUUGAGAAAUCUAGACUUCCCGCAAGGGACGCCGGUAGAGGUGCUGCAUGGCUGUCGUCAGCUCGUGCCGUGAGGUGUUGGGUUAAGUCCCGCAACGAGCGCAACCCUUACGCGUAGUUGCCACCCCGCAAGGGGGGAACUCUACGUGGACUGCUCCGGAUAACGGAGAGGAAGGUGGGGAUGACGUCAAGUCAGCACGGCCUUUAUGUCCAGGGCUACACACGUGUUACAAUGCGCGGCACAGAACGCUGCAAACCCGCGAGGGGGAGCUAAUCGGAAAAAACCGCGCUCAGUUCGGAUUGCAGUCUGCAACUCGACUGCAUGAAGCUGGAAUCGCUAGUAAUGGCGCAUCAGAUCGGCGCCGUGAAUACGUUCCCGGGCCUUGUACACACCGACAUA